GACGAACGCUGGCGGCGUGCUUAACACAUGCAAGUCGAACGGAAAGGCCCUGCUUUUGUGGGUUGCUCGAUUGGCGAACGGGUGAGUAACACGUGAGUAACCUGCCCUUGUCUUUCGGAUAACUUCAGGAAACUGGGGCUAAUACCGGAUAUGAGCUCCUGCUGCAUGUUGGGGGUUGGAAAGUUUCGGCGGUUGGGGAUGUACUCGCGGCUUAUCAGCUUGUUGGUGGGGUAGUGGCUUACCAAGGCUUUGACGGGUAGCCGGCCUGAGAGGGUGACCGGCGACAUGGGGACUGAGAGACGGACCAGACGCGUACGGGAGGCAGCAGGGGGGAAUAUGGCACAAUGGGCGGAAGCCUGAUGCAGAAACGCCGCGUGCGGGAUGACGGGCUUCGGGUGGUAAACAGCUGUCGCCUGUGACGAAGAGUGAGUGACGGUAAUGGGUAAAGAAGCAACGGCUAACUACGUG
This 468-nucleotide ribosomal RNA is filed under the name uncultured bacterium. Its description in RNAcentral is "partial 16S ribosomal RNA". It matches the Rfam family "Bacterial small subunit ribosomal RNA", at positions 28 to 507 of the family's 1533-position model. The record is from RNAcentral.